This is a long non-coding RNA of Talpa occidentalis (Iberian mole), 496 nucleotides long. RefSeq lists it as uncharacterized. Lineage: Eukaryota; Metazoa; Chordata; Mammalia; Eulipotyphla; Talpidae. The transcript is spliced from 3 exons. The record is from RefSeq and is a predicted model, not a curated record.
AGCCAGCAUAAGGAGGAGCUGAAGAAGACACUGUUCCAGCUGCAAAGAAAGCAGGGGAAGACUCACUCCUGGUCUCCAAGAAAAGAACUAUGAUUGAAAGAAGAAAGAAGCAGCAAAGCAUCCAGUAGCUGACCUCCUAGGAGGCUCCAGGCCUGGUAUCUCAAAGACCUGUUUCACUUGGUGUCUCUGACAUGGCUUCAGGGGGACCAGUAGUGACUGUCACUACUAGGCAGUGCUGUCCGGCACUCCUGGUGACAGGUGACAAGUACACUGCUUGUACUUCUGGGGGACACUAUCAGGAGAGAGUAUCAGGUUUCCAGUUGGCGGUAACAAGAGUAUUCAACUGACUGCAAUUAUAUUUCAAAAAAUCUUUCUGAAGAUAACUGAGGCUCUCAACCAGGGCCAUCAAAAGAGACACAGCGCCAUAUCUGAUGUGGUUGGUCCCAAGGUUAAGAACAACACUUCCCAUCAAGAUCAACUGAUUUUUAAUUGUGUA